Molecule: ribosomal RNA, 468 nt
Filed under: uncultured bacterium
Lineage: Bacteria
Description: partial 16S ribosomal RNA
Rfam family: Bacterial small subunit ribosomal RNA
Source: RNAcentral
GACGAACGCUGGCGGCGUGCUUAACACAUGCAAGUCGAACGGAAAGGCCCUGCUUUUGUGGGGUGCUCGAGUGGCGAACGGGUGAGUAACACGUGAGUAACCUGCCCUUGACUUUGGGAUAACUUCAGGAAACUGGGGCUAAUACCGGAUAGGAGCUCCUGCUGCAUGGUGGGGGGUGGAAAGUUUCGGCGGUUGGGGAUGGACUCGCGGCUUAUCAGCUUGUUGGUGGGGUAGUGGCUUACCAAGGCUUUGACGGGUAGCCGGCCUGAGAGGGUGACCGGCCACAUUGGGACUGAGAUACGGCCCAGACUCCUACGGGAGGCAGCAGUGGGGAAUAUUGCACAAUGGGCGGAAGCCUGAUGCAGCAACGCCGCGUGCGGGAUGACGGCCUUCGGGUUGUAAACCGCCUUCGCCUGUGACGAAGCGUGAGUGACGGUAAUGGGUAAAGAAGCACCGGCUAACUACGUG